RNAcentral lists this ribosomal RNA (294 nucleotides) under uncultured bacterium. RNAcentral's name for it is "partial 16S ribosomal RNA". It matches the Rfam family "Bacterial small subunit ribosomal RNA", at positions 29 to 334 of the family's 1533-position model. The record is from RNAcentral.
AGUGAACGCUGGCGGCGUGCUUAACACAUGCAAGUCGAACGGUAACAGCAGAAGCUUGCUUCUGGCUGACGAGUGGCGGACGGGUGAGUAAUGUAUAGAUACGUGCCCCAUAGACUAGGAUAGCCACUGGAAACGGUGAUUAAUACUGGAUACUCCUUACGAGGGAAAGCUUUUGCGCUAUGGGAUCGGUCUAUAUGGUAUCAGGUAGUUGGUGAGGUAAGAGCUCACCAAGCCAAUGACACCUAGCUGGUCUGAGAGGAUGAUCAGCCACACUGGAACUGAGACACGGUCCAG